GCCUUCGUGGCGUGCUAAUCAGCACACUCGGCUCGUAUUCGAGAGGUCCGUGGUUCGAGUCCUGGCGAGGGCA
RNAcentral lists this transfer RNA (73 nucleotides) under Stegodyphus mimosarum. It matches the Rfam family "tRNA". From Rfam's summary of the family: Transfer RNA (tRNA) molecules are approximately 80 nucleotides in length. Lineage: Eukaryota; Metazoa; Arthropoda; Arachnida; Araneae; Eresidae. The record is from Rfam by way of RNAcentral.